RNAcentral lists this transfer RNA (75 nucleotides) under Camelus bactrianus (Bactrian camel). It matches the Rfam family "tRNA". From Rfam's summary of the family: Transfer RNA (tRNA) molecules are approximately 80 nucleotides in length. Their secondary structure includes four short double-helical elements and three loops (D, anti-codon, and T loops). Lineage: Eukaryota; Metazoa; Chordata; Mammalia; Artiodactyla; Camelidae. RNAcentral also lists the same sequence under 2 other names. The record is from Rfam by way of RNAcentral.
GAGGGUAGAGCUCAAUGGUAAGAGUGUGAAUACCUAGCAUUCACAAGGUCCUGGGUUCAAUCCCCAGCACCUCCA